UACGAAGGGGGCAAGCGUUGUUCGGAUUUACUGGGCGUAAAGGGCGCGUAGGCGGAUCUUUAAGUCAGAGGUGAAAGCCCUGGGCUCAACCCGGGAAUUGCCUUUGAGACUGUGGAUCUUGAGUAUGGGAGAGGGUGGCGGAAUACCAAGUGUAGAGGUGAAAUUCGUAGAUAUUGGGUAGAACACCAGUGGCGAAGGCGGCCUCCUGGCCCAUAACUGACGCUGAGGCGAGAAAGCGUGGGGAGCAAACAGG
This 253-nucleotide ribosomal RNA is filed under the name uncultured bacterium. RNAcentral describes it as "partial 16S ribosomal RNA". It matches the Rfam family "Bacterial small subunit ribosomal RNA", at positions 524 to 776 of the family's 1533-position model. The record is from RNAcentral.